This 318-nucleotide long non-coding RNA is filed under the name Cyanistes caeruleus (blue tit). RNAcentral describes it as "lncRNA (ENSCCEG00000012638.1)". The record is from RNAcentral. Lineage: Eukaryota; Metazoa; Chordata; Aves; Passeriformes; Paridae.
CAACGAUCCAGGGAAACUUCGCAAACCUGGCUCUAAAUAAAUUAACCCGUGCAGCUGCUCGCGGGACAUCGCAUCCUCGAAAUUUUUGGAGGUGAAUCACAGCUUCCUGGUUUGUUCCAAAACCACUCCAGUGUUCUGCACAAAUCCCGACAUCUCCACAAAUCCUGACAUCUCUGUAAGGUGAGAACUCCAGUCCUGGGGUGGAAGCAGGUUUGGGCUGCUGGGCAUGGAGGAAUUUGGGGUACUGUUCAUUUAAAAAGCAGGAAUUUAUUCAAAUCUCAGCCAAAUUAAUCCUGGACAAAAGAAAAUCUUGGCUUU